RNAcentral lists this ribosomal RNA (412 nucleotides) under Verrucomicrobiota bacterium. Its description in RNAcentral is "Verrucomicrobia bacterium partial 16S ribosomal RNA". It matches the Rfam family "Bacterial small subunit ribosomal RNA", at positions 355 to 776 of the family's 1533-position model. The record is from RNAcentral. Lineage: Bacteria; Pseudomonadati; Verrucomicrobiota.
UGGGGAAUUUUGCACAAUGGGGGAAACCCUGACGCAGCGACGCCGCGUGCGGGAUGAAGGCCUUCGGGUUGUAAACCGCUUUUGAUUGGGAGCAAGCCUUUUGGGUGAGUGUACCUUUCGAAUAAGCGCCGGCUAACUACGUGCCAGCAGCCGCGGUAAUACGUAGGGCGCAAGCGUUAUCCGGAAUUAUUGGGCGUAAAGAGCUUGUAGGCGGUUCGUCGCGUCUGGUGUGAAAGCCCAUCGCUUAACGGUGGGUUUGCGCCGGGUACGGGCGGGCUAGAGUGCAGUAGGGGAGACUGGAAUUCCCGGUGUAACGGUGGAAUGUGUAGAUAUCGGGAAGAACACCAAUGGCGAAGGCAGGUCUCUGGGCUGUUACUGACGCUGAGAAGCGAAAGCGUGGGGAGCGAACAGG